CACAGUUCACGACCUACACACCAUCCACUCGCAUCCACUACAUACUACGCAAGAUACACGAAACAGAGUGACCCCUGUUCUAUCAGUAUUCCCCAAUGAAAUAUGACAACAGCUACACAUACACGCAAGAAUUACUACAGCCAAUCAGAUGUCACACGAGCCUAAGAACGCGAGCCGAUGAAUGAAACCGAGGCGCAAGGAUUGUUUCAGUCUCUUUGACAACCAUCAUCUGAGCCAGCCACUUGCUGUAUGAAACGUUACCAUCAUCGUUAUAACCGUUAACAUCAUCAACAUCUUUGAGCAUCACCGGACAGUACAUCAACAGACAGAACAUCAACAAGAGCCACAUGUUAGCUGACAGCCACGUCGGCUAACCCCUCGAGAACCACCAGAGGCAACUACUUUUCACCUUCGUCAUAGUGUGCUCACCAUCGUAUCAUCACACAUCACCAUCUUCAGGAGCGACGGUGAGGAAUAACUGUGUUUUAACUCUUGUCCUCUCAUCUCCUGCACUGUGUGAAUGGAUUAGCCACAGAAAUGUCAUCAAUGCCCGACAAGAAUAACGGUUGCCCCGAACGUUCAUUUCUGCUAACAGGCUAACCCCCGAGAACUGCCAGGCACCAUUCACCAUUCACCGCUGUGUCUAAGUGUACUCACCGGAUUCAUCCCCUUGAGCACAUCAUUAGGAGCAACGGUGAGGAAUAACAUCUGUUUAGCCGUUUUGUGCCCUUGUCCCAUCUCCUGCACUAUAUCAAUGGUUAGCCACAGAAAUGUUAGCAAUGCCCCACGAGAAUAACGGUUGUCCCGAACGUUCCCAAUGCACUGGCCAGGCUAACGUUGUAAGCGUCACUGGUGAAAAAAGAAUAUGUUUAUGCUUCACGAUCUUUACAGACACUGGUUACAGAUACUGAUAACUGAUAUUACUGAUACUGAUAACUGAUAUUGCUGAUACUGACUACUGAUACUGAUGACCAUUAGUAGCCCAUUACUGACACUGAUGCUGAUUACCAUCAGUAGCCUUACACUAGUUACACUAGCCUUACAGUAGUUACUAUUAUUUACACACACUAGUUAUUAUUACUGAUGGGUUCUACACAAAGAGAAGUUUAUUACUAUUUCUUUAAUAGUGAUUUAACUAAGAUAAGAGGAUAAUUUCAUUGUUGUUAUGAAUGUAAUAUUUCAUUGCACUAUGCAAUUUAUUGAAGCCUUUCACAGUAUUUAAUUUAAAGUAAAUAGAGGGUAAUUUUUAGUGCAGUUCUCUUACAUGAAUAGGCCUAUUAGUGUAAGAGGAUAUUAAGCACGUCUCUGAUAGUGAUUCCUUCUAAGCUUUAGAUUCUAAUGUGUAUUUUAUGUUUUAUGUUGUAUGUAUUUAUUGUUGAGACAUUUUGAAUGUAGUUUUAUUGGACCCAUUGCUACCUGCGUUUUGGUAGACAGGCGUUACACAUGAACGACUUGUUUUCAUGCACUUGAAUUUAAUGAUUAGAGAAGAUUUAAGAAGAUAUGUGAUUGUCAUCCCAGUAUGACUAUUAGAUAAUGAUAAUAUGAUGCAUCUUAGAUUUAUUGUACAUUGUACUAAUUGAAAUGUAUGUAUGGAUGAAUGUGACCUAUCAGGUCAGGUUUUUUGGACGGAUAGGAUUGAAAAGAAGACAACUGGGCCAGGACUUCACCUGGUCAAAGGACACUGAUGGCGAGCCUUUCCCAGAGCGACCACGGAUACCCUUAAGUACCCUACAAAGGAACUUUUCCCCCUUUUUCCACUUUUUACCAUUUCUAUUUUGUUUAAGGCCCCGGGACCAUUGUUUAUUUUAAGUGUGCACACUGUUUUAUUUUAUUUGGGUUUUUAUACACUUCAAACAUUUUGUAAACAAUAUACGAGUUUUCACUCAAAAAGGAA
Molecule: long non-coding RNA, 1894 nt
Organism: Engraulis encrasicolus (European anchovy)
Lineage: Eukaryota; Metazoa; Chordata; Actinopteri; Clupeiformes; Engraulidae
Exons: 2
Source: RefSeq, a predicted model, not a curated record